Molecule: RNA transcript, 866 nt
Organism: Salvia miltiorrhiza (redroot sage)
Lineage: Eukaryota; Viridiplantae; Streptophyta; Magnoliopsida; Lamiales; Lamiaceae
Exons: 9
Source: RefSeq, a predicted model, not a curated record
AUUCCAUAAAACCCUAGCUAACAAAACCCCCGUACUCGUCAUUGGUGAGUUCGUCGUUCUUUCAAAUUAAUUGCUUUCAGGCUGUAAACUUUUGGUUGGUUGAAGUUCUACAUUCGUUGAAUCUCCGGUGAAAAUGAGUCGGCCAAUGGAAGAAGAUGCUCCGGCAAAGAAUGAGGAGGAGGAGUUCAACACUGGUCCACUUUCUGUCUUGAUGUUGAGUGUUAAGAAUAACACACAGGUGCUCAUCAGCUGCCGUAACAACAAAAAGCUUCUGGGCCAUGUGAGGGCUUUUGAUCGCCACUGCAACAUGGUCCUCGAAAAUGUCCGGGAGAUGUGGACUGAGGUGCCUAAGACUGGUAAAGGCAAAAAGAAAGCUCUUCCAGUUAACAAGGAUCGUUUUAUUAGCAAGAUGUUCCUCCGAGGGGAUUCCGUGAUCAUUGUCCUCAGAAAUCCCAAGUGAUGGGUGGAAUUACUCUGAAUGUAGUGUGAGCUUAUUUCUAUUUUGAGCAUAUGAGGCCUGCAGCUUAUCGAUGAUGAUGAGGUUUAUCUUUCUUAGAUGUACUUUAGGCUUCCAACCCAGCAAUGUGUUUUCCUUGGAGGCGUCAGGUCCCCUUUUUUUUCUGGGAUCAUCGUCUGUGUUCGGUCUGAACCCUAUUUUAGCAUCUGAAUUUAUAAUUUCUUCAACUAUUUGCACAGGAUGAGUAGCUCGAGUUGUAAUAAAUUUCAUGAAGCAUGUUAAGAAGCUGUCUCAUUGCAUCACUGUGUUUGAACUAUAAGUUUGAUCUCGUAGGCAUAAUGAUAGGGAGGUUACAUUAUUUUUGAGUUGAAAUGCGGAUUUGGAAUCAAUGAUUCAUAGGAUUAUGCUA